GAAACCGGAGCUAAUACCGGAUAAUAUUUGAACCGCAUGGUUACAAAGUGAAGGACGGUCUUGCUGUCACUUAUAGAUGGAUCCGCGCUGCAUUAGCUAGUUGGUAAGGUAACGGCUUACCAAGGCAACGAUGCAUAGCCGACCUGAGAGGGUGAUCGGCCACACUGGAACUGAGACACGGUCCAG
RNAcentral lists this ribosomal RNA (186 nucleotides) under uncultured Staphylococcus sp. RNAcentral describes it as "partial 16S ribosomal RNA". It matches the Rfam family "Bacterial small subunit ribosomal RNA", at positions 153 to 334 of the family's 1533-position model. The record is from RNAcentral. Lineage: Bacteria; Bacillati; Bacillota; Bacilli; Caryophanales; Staphylococcaceae.